Molecule: long non-coding RNA, 437 nt
Organism: Hyaena hyaena (striped hyena)
Lineage: Eukaryota; Metazoa; Chordata; Mammalia; Carnivora; Hyaenidae
Exons: 3
Source: RefSeq, a predicted model, not a curated record
CCCAAGGGCACUGCCACAGUGUCCCAGUGUGUGACAGACCACCUUUGGGAGGUGAAGUGACAGGUAAAGAAACGAAGCUGUAUGGACAUGAACUGACUUGCUUGCCACCCUUGAUAAACAGAUGAUAGAUCUAAGAGCCAGUGUCAGAUAUGUCGUAUUUCUCCUCUUGCACCAGAUCAUCUUGCCGCUGGUGGAGGAGGCUGUGUGUGAAGGCACAUAACCAGGGGAAGAAACGGAACCAUGGGGAGGUCAGCUAGUGCUCUGAAGUUGGCAAAGUUGAUAAAUGACAGAGCCUGCUUUCAAAUCCACAUAGUCAGCUUCUAUAAUCUAUGCACUGUGACCUACACACAUAUUUGUCACCAGGUGGUAAGGCUGUUGGAAGCAGGGUCCAUGUCUUAAUUUUGUGCCACAUGUGGGUUCAUAAUAAAAUAACAUUA